RNAcentral lists this ribosomal RNA (964 nucleotides) under Microsporidium sp. EM.L-10. Its description in RNAcentral is "SSU rRNA". It matches the Rfam family "Microsporidia small subunit ribosomal RNA", at positions 1 to 942 of the family's 1311-position model. The record is from RNAcentral. Lineage: Eukaryota; Fungi; Microsporidia.
ACGUGGACGCUAGUCUCACAGAUUUAGCCAUGCAUGUGUAAGCGAAGCUACUGUUGAUUCUGCCUGACGUAGAUGCUAGUCUCUAAGAUUUAGCCAUGCAUGCUUGGUGAACCGAAUGGGGAACGGCGAACGGCUCAGUAAUGUUGCGAUGAUUUGCUCUUGCUGGCGACUAACCACGGCAACCUGUGGCUAAGAGGCGAGAAUAAGACGCAACCCUAUCAGUUUGUUGGUAGUGUAACGGACUACCAAGACGGCGACGGGUAACGGGAAAUCAGGGUUUGAUUCCGGAGAGGGAGCCUGAGAGAUGGCUCCCAUGUCCAAGGACAGCAGCAGGCGCGAAAAUUGCCCACUCUUUGUGAGGAGGCAGUUAUGAGACAUGAGUGGAAGCAGAAACGGCAAAGGUGUUUCUUUGAUGCAAUUGGAGGGCAAGUUUGGUGCCAGCAGCCGCGGUAAUACCGACUCCAAGAGUGUCUAUGGUGGAUGCUGCAGUUAAAAAGUCCGUAGUUGUGAUGCAAUGAAAGGGCGCGGAUCAAGCGCGUCUUCUUUGUUAUGUGUGGCGGAACGGACAGGGAGCACGGUAUAGAUGGGCGAGAGAUGAAAUGACCAAGACCCCAUCUGGACCGACGGGGGCGCAGGCGGUGCUCUUGGACGAUUCUGGGGAUCAAGGACGAAUCGCUGGAGGAUCGAAAGUGAUUAGAUACCGCUGUAGUUCCAGCAGUAAACGAUGCCGACACUUCCUGGCAGUGCUGGAGGAGGAGGAGAAAUCUUAGUUUAUCGGGCUCUGGGUGAUAGUACGCUCGCAAUGUUGAAACUUGAAAGUGAAAUUGACGGAACUACACUACCAGGAGUGGAUUGUGCGGCUUAAUUUGACUCAACGCUGGACAGCAUUACCAAGAAGUAUCACCACAAGGAGUUGGUAGUGUGCCGCUUAAUUUUGACUCACGCGGGACAGCCUUUACCAAAA